This 174-nucleotide ribosomal RNA is filed under the name Aeromonas caviae. RNAcentral's name for it is "partial 23S ribosomal RNA". It matches the Rfam family "Bacterial large subunit ribosomal RNA", at positions 2757 to 2925 of the family's 2925-position model. Lineage: Bacteria; Pseudomonadati; Pseudomonadota; Gammaproteobacteria; Aeromonadales; Aeromonadaceae. The record is from RNAcentral.
GGAAUCGAUAACCGCUGAAAGCAUCUAAGCGGGAAGCGAGCCCUGAGAUGAGUCAUCCCUGACCCCUUGAGGGUCCUAAAGGGCCGUUGGAGACCACAACGUUGAUAGGUGGGGUGUGUAAGCGUAGCGAUACGUUGAGCUAACCCAUACUAAUUACCCGUGAGGCUUAACCAU